Molecule: ribosomal RNA, 1542 nt
Filed under: Enterococcus faecium
Lineage: Bacteria; Bacillati; Bacillota; Bacilli; Lactobacillales; Enterococcaceae
Description: partial 23S ribosomal RNA
Rfam family: Bacterial large subunit ribosomal RNA
Source: RNAcentral
GCGCACGGUGGAUGCCUUGGCACUAGGAGCCGAUGAAGGACGGGACUAACACCGAUAUGCUUUGGGGAGCUGUACGUAAGCUAUAAUCCAGAGAUUUCCGAAUGGGGGAACCCAGCAUCUUUAAUAGGAUGUUACGAUUGUGUGAAUACAUAGCACAUUCGAGGUAGACGCAGAGAACUGAAACAUCUAAGUACCUGCAGGAAGAGAAAGAAAAUUCGAUUCCCUGAGUAGCGGCGAGCGAAACGGGAAAAGCCCAAACCAACAAGCUUGCUUGUUGGGGUUGUAGGACUCCAAUAUGGUCGUUCUUUCAGAUAGUCGAAUGACUUGGAAAAGUCAGUCAAAGAGGGUAAAAACCCCGUAGACGAAAUGUGGAAGACACCUAGGAGGAUCCUGAGUACGGCGGAACACGAGAAAUUCCGUCGGAAUCCGGGAGGACCAUCUCCCAAGGCUAAAUACUCCCUAGUGACCGAUAGUGAACCAGUACCGUGAGGGAAAGGUGAAAAGCACCCCGGAAGGGGAGUGAAAUAGAACCUGAAACCGUGUGCCUACAACAAGUCAAAGCCCGUUAAUGGGUGAUGGCGUGCCUUUUGUAGAAUGAACCGGCGAGUUACGAUUGCAUGCGAGGUUAAGUUGAAGAGACGGAGCCGCAGCGAAAGCGAGUCUGAAUAGGGCGUUUGAGUAUGUAGUCGUAGACCCGAAACCAUGUGAUCUACCCAUGUCCAGGUUGAAGGUGCGGUAAAACGCACUGGAGGACCGAACCCACGUACGUUGAAAAGUGCGGGGAUGAGGUGUGGGUAGCGGAGAAAUUCCAAACGAACUUGGAGAUAGCUGGUUCUCUCCGAAAUAGCUUUAGGGCUAGCCUCGGAAUUGAGAAUGAUGGAGGUAGAGCACUGUUUGGACUAGGGGCCCAUCUCGGGUUACCGAAUUCAGAUAAACUCCGAAUGCCAUUCAUUCAUAUCCGGGAGUCAGACUGUGAGUGAUAAGAUCCAUAGUCGAAAGGGAAACAGCCCAGACCACCAGCUAAGGUCCCAAAAUAUAUGUUAAGUGGAAAAGGAUGUGGGGUUGCACAGACAACUAGGAUGUUGGCUUAGAAGCAGCCACCAUUUAAAGAGUGCGUAAUAGCUCACUAGUCGAGUGACCCUGCGCCGAAAAUGUACCGGGGCUAAACAUAUUACCGAAGCUGUGGAGUACACCUUUAGGUGUAUUGGUAGGAGAGCGUUCUAAGGGCGUCGAAGGCAGAUCGUGAGGACUGCUGGAGCGCUUAGAAGUGAGAAUGUCGGUAUGAGUAGCGAAAGACAGGUGAGAAUCCUGUCCACCGAAUGACUAAGGUUUCCUGGGGAAGGCUCGUCCGCCCAGGGUUAGUCGGGACCUAAGCCGAGGCCGAUAGGCGUAGGCGAUGGAUAACAGGUUGAUAUUCCUGUACCCGUUGUUUUUGUUUGAGCAAUGGAGGGACGCAGGAGGCUAAGGAAUGCAGACGAUCGGAAAUGUCUGUCCAAGCAGUAAGUCUGAAGAGGAGUCAAAUGCUUCUUUUCUUAAGGACAA